CUAAUACGAUUCUCAUAACUCUCUCAUGUAUUUCUAAUAGCAUUGUGUUAUUCAUGUACAUGUGUAUUGAACUAAAGAAUUUCUCUUAUGGUUUCAGCCACAAUAUUCUUAUGUUGAUGGAGAUAGAUUAGUUCCUGCUGAAUCUGCCAACGUGCUCACUUUUCUCUUUCCAUAUUUUGUAUAUGUUAUUCUUUGUUGAUAAUCAUGUUGAGUAGUUGUGACUGUUUUCUAAAAUGACGCACACAUUUCCCGUAUUAUUUUAUAACUAAUACAUAUUCUUUGUUCAUAAUUUCAUCUCAAAACGGGGACUGAUGCGAAAAAGUGUUGCACCUAUCUAUACAGGUGAAGUAAUAAGUGCUACACCUAUUUUGUUGUCAAUAAAAGUGUUGUAGCAUGGUAAUGAGGGAGUUGAUAAAAGCAUAUCCAUCAACAAUAAACAUGGUUGAUUAUAAGGGCAAUACAACAUUGCAUAUAGCUAUCAGGAAGGGUAGAACUCAGGAGAUUGUUGCUUGAUGAUUCAAGAGGUGUUGCAGAGGCCCUAAAUGAAACAGAUUGUGUUGCUGAUAAUUGCAGGGGUCUAACUGUAAAAAUUUCUUACCAACAUUCAAUUGCCAUUGCAGAGGCCCUAUAACUAACUACUUAUUUUGCAGCUCCAAGGUUAAAGACAGUCAGCCAAUUGCAAACGAUGGGUCAAUAGGUUCUCCAAUGCAAUCUACUUCAUCUAAGAUCAACAAGCCACAGAUUCAACUGUCCAUCUCCCAGCAACAGCAGGAUCCUUACUCUCACUAAUUUUACGGACUGCAAAAAUUAAUCAAGGUAAUAUAGAACUGAAGAGAUUGAUUGAGUCUAUUGCAAAUGGUGAUUCACAUGUGCCUUUUAGGGACAGCAAACUGUGUUUGAGAGACCAAAAGUUAUUUACAAUGAAAAAGCAAGAAAGUAUGUGAAGUGGAUGCAUAUCGACAGCGCCAAUUACGCAAAAGCUUUUAUCGGCAUAACAGUCAGUGAUACACCUAUCGGUCCAUUCGAAUAUCUCGGUAGCCAAAGACUGCAUGGAUAUUGUGAUCUUUGUUGUCUUAUUUAGUAUCAGUUUAAGUCAGUUAGAUCUAACCAUUUGCAUAAAAAUGUAAAGGUGAGAAGUUGAUUGGACCUAUACGAGUGUUGUGCUACGGAUGCUGUUGCGAUUGUUUUUGGUUUGAGUCUCUAUAGAAGGGCUUCUCAUGUAGAGUGUCCAGCUAUGAGAAGGGCUUCUCAUGUGGAGUUGUUUUCAAUCUACACAUGCUGUGUGUUACAGACUCUGCUGUUUUAAUGCUGCAGGUUUGUAGACUUACUUUGUUCUCCUCUCAUGGAUGUCAGUUUACUUCAAAAGCGUAAUUACAUGGCAGUGGUUUCCUCAAAUGGGGUUAAAAUGCUUUGGCAGAGUCCGCCCUUUGUUGGUAAGUGUUUUUUUGCCUAUAAUCCAAGGUUCUGCUCAUGGUCCACAACAAGAAGCGGCUCUAUAUUGAUAAAAAUAUAACCUGAUAGAAAUUAUAACCAAGAUUUUAUUAAUCUUAGCUUUGUUCUUGAAAUCUAUUAAGUGCUACUACUGAGUGAAUGAGUGGAACUUGCCAGGUAAUUUUCACAACAAAGACUGGAUUCUUCUUUAGAGUGAGGCAUGAAUUAUGAAGACACAUAUGUCAAUUGUUACAUUUUAAGCUUUGCUUUUAUCCUAAAUCCAUUUUAACAGGUAAUAGUUGGUAUGUCAUAAACCACCAGGAUAAGUUUGUUUAUCUAUCGAGAAAUUAUUCUAAGUUCUCAAAUAAUUUAUUAUCUAAGUUACCUGGAUCAAACCAAAAUUAGUACUUUUGGAUUAGAGUUGAUUUGGACCUCCACAGUUUCACCUGUGUUUAAUACAAGAUUUGCCAAGAGCCCUGCACAUAAACUGAUACAGCAGCAAAACACAUAGCUGCAUCUUUGUUAAAAAUGGUUGGUAUCUCCAAACCUCUCUAAUUGCUUCAGAUUCAUAGAAAACAAGCUUGCAUCGCCAAAAGGUUCAGCUCGCCGUUAGUUACUACUAUGACAAGCCUUCAGUCAGCACUUUCACUCCUUUCAACUUCUUUUAACCAUUAAUUCAACAUGUUAAGUUGUUGUUCUUUAGUAUGUGUUAAAAUUUGGUUUUGUUAGAGGUUACAGGUUGGUGUUGGAUUCAACUUUAUGGUAAAACAAAUUGCUGUUACAAAGUUAUGGUUUCAUUUUGAUAAUUGGAGUUGAAAAAAAUUGUGUUAAAAAGUACUGAUUUAAUAACUGUAAUGGUGGAAGAUGGGGAUGAAGCAUUAGAGAAGAAAAUAGUGAUUUAAAAAUAUAAUUUUAGAUGUAAGAUAUUAGAAUAUAUUAUUAAAUUAUUAUUUAAUUAUUAUAUUCAAUAGUUAUUUUAUAAACAUGAAUUCAAUAUAAACAUGAAUUCAAUAGUUACAAGAAAAUUUCCAACAUUUAUAAGAUUAAUGCUUGCAGUUGCAAGAAUUCAAGAUUCUUAAAUGAUGAGAUUUUUCAUUAUCUUAUUUUGGAUUAUGCUUAUCUAAUGUUGUAAAUAACUAGCCAAGUGGGAAAAAUUGAGUGCGGAUACUUCCUUCAUCCACCAAUAAUUUAAUAUACACGUGUAUUUAAUAUUAAUCAUUCAUUUCUUCUUAAUAUCUUAUUUAAC
Long non-coding RNA from Vicia villosa (hairy vetch), 2677 nucleotides. RefSeq lists it as uncharacterized. The record is from RefSeq and is a predicted model, not a curated record. The transcript has 4 exons. Lineage: Eukaryota; Viridiplantae; Streptophyta; Magnoliopsida; Fabales; Fabaceae.